Molecule: long non-coding RNA, 678 nt
Filed under: Coffea arabica (coffee)
Lineage: Eukaryota; Viridiplantae; Streptophyta; Magnoliopsida; Gentianales; Rubiaceae
Description: long non-coding RNA (CARA_LNC004413)
Source: RNAcentral
AGCUAUAUGUAAUGCCAGAGGAAACUCCAAAUCCACCACCGGAGCCAAUUGCUGCCUUUCUUUCUCCAGUUCUGUGGCAGGUGUCUCUUGUAUUCUUUCCUUCAAGUGGAAGAUCAACUGAUUUUUGUUGAAAAGAAAGUACUCAUGCUAUUAUUAAUAAAUUUAAGCCGUUCAUUUCCAGUAAUUAAUCGCAUUUGACGCAUUGAGUUAUAGAUUGCAUUUUAGUAGUUUUAUUAUGGUCAAGCAUACUAAAUUGGAUUCUAGACUUUUGUAAGGAAUUUAGAGUUGGUAUAACAUCAUUAACUGGAAUGUGUGACCAAGUUAUGCAGAUCCUACACAAUGAGAAAACUUCAGCUUGGUUCUUAAAAAGGCUCCAUGUGACACACUGAAGUGGUUUUUUACUCUUGCUGCAGUUAAACAGUCCUGAUCUCUUUGACAUGUACUCUGCUGGAAUUGUAUUCUUACAAAUGGCAAUACCGUCCUUAAGGUCCACAUUAGGUUUAAAAAAUUUUAAUCUAGAAUUGAAGACAGUGGGAUAUGACCUGAGAAAGUGGAGGGAGAGAACAAGGAUGAGGCCUGACCUUAGCAUUCUCGAGCUUGAUUCUGGUAGAGGUUGGGACUUGGCCACAAAGCUUAUUUCAGAGAGAGGUUUCCUGAGAAGGGGUCGAUUAUCUGCUG